RNAcentral lists this ribosomal RNA (155 nucleotides) under Alternaria embellisia. Its description in RNAcentral is "5.8S ribosomal RNA". The stretch from base 1 to 135 matches the Rfam family "5.8S ribosomal RNA", at positions 20 to 154 of the family's 154-position model. From Rfam's summary of the family: 5.8S ribosomal RNA (5.8S rRNA) is a component of the large subunit of the eukaryotic ribosome. It is transcribed by RNA polymerase I as part of the 45S precursor that also contains 18S and 28S rRNA. The record is from RNAcentral. Lineage: Eukaryota; Fungi; Ascomycota; Dothideomycetes; Pleosporales; Pleosporaceae.
CUUGGUUCUGGCAUCGAUGAAGAACGCAGCGAAAUGCGAUACGUAGUGUGAAUUGCAGAAUUCAGUGAAUCAUCGAAUCUUUGAACGCACAUUGCGCCCUUUGGUAUUCCAAAGGGCAUGCCUGUUCGAGCGUCAUUUGUACCCUCAAGCUUUGC